This 224-nucleotide long non-coding RNA is filed under the name Gossypium raimondii (Peruvian cotton). Its description in RNAcentral is "long non-coding RNA (GRAI_LNC007987)". Lineage: Eukaryota; Viridiplantae; Streptophyta; Magnoliopsida; Malvales; Malvaceae. The record is from RNAcentral.
GUAUGUACAGUAAGUGCGUAUUCAAUUAAUUAGCUUGACUUGAGUUCAAAUCCCUUUCUGAGCAAAUAAAAUUAAUUUUGCUAUUUUUGCUCCCAUUCUCCCCUUUGUUGAGUCAUCCAACCUAGUAAGAAACCCUAGGUCUAAAUACAAACUUUUUAACAAAAAAAUUAGAUUUCCACUUUAUUUUUUCACCCAAACCAUCCCUCACUAGAGGUGCUCAUGGG